RNAcentral lists this long non-coding RNA (411 nucleotides) under Nicotiana benthamiana. Its description in RNAcentral is "long non-coding RNA (NBEN_LNC005718)". Lineage: Eukaryota; Viridiplantae; Streptophyta; Magnoliopsida; Solanales; Solanaceae. The record is from RNAcentral.
UUCAUUCAUUGUGGUACAAGAAAUAUAGGUGAAGCGAAACAUUCUAUUUUUUGUGUACAAGUUAUUUUGAUUAUUUUUCUUCAAAAAUUUAUACUACAAUGCUUUUCAUAAUUUACUUGUAGAAAUUUUCUUUGUGUAUGGAUAUUUCUGCUCUCUAGAAAGGUAGGUUCGAAUGAUACCGCAAGCAACACGGUUGAUAAUUUUCCAAUCUUCUUCUCCAAUAACAUCUGGUUACCUUUUUUCAAUGGCAAGAUCUAGCCCUUGUUGAAAAAGGACAUAUAGAACCUAGCCUUGCUACAUCCCAAAGUGUCAUGACCCGUCAAAUAUUUCUACCGCAUAUUUUACAUUUGACAUAAUUCUUGUCAUAAGCAAAGAUACCAACAAUGACGUAUUAUUAAUACUUGAUGUAGA